ACUCUUGAAAAGAUGUAUGACAUCAUGAAAACUUCCACUGAUUAAGUCGGAUAGAAUGGUGAAAUCAUGUUAGAUACAACCUUCAAAUAAGAAGUCUCACCAUCGUUUUUUUUGCUUUAACCUUCUCCUUCUUCCUCAACAGCAUCUCAAGUUCGCCCCGACUCCUCUUAUCUCUCUCUCUCUCUCUCUAUAAUGUAUUAAUCCAACCUCAGUGCGCUAUUCCCCCUCCUGUUUCUUCAGCUUCUAACUUGCUUUUCUAUCCUCUUAAGCAACCUAGAGUACCCAUGCUAUCGGGUGAGGUUUUAAUCUUGGGCCUUCGAGAUCCAAGUAAAACACUCAUAAGAGUUGAGUUGAAAUCCUAGAAGGCUUUGAUUCAUAAUUGAGGUUUCUAACUUACCCAUCCCAGAUAUGAUGCAAAAGCUUACGUCUGUAGCAUUAUUUUUAUAUAAUGUUAUAUCUCUUUAAAGUCCCCACCCUGGAUGUAAAGGAGACGCAAACUCUUGGCAUACCUGGAGUUCCAGCCGAUCAAUUAUCUGUGGCUUGAACAGAGUAUCUCUUACUGGAACCAUUAAUGAUAUCAAGAGGGACCCACGAUCGGGCAUGUGUGAGCAGUCGAGCCAUAAAACAGGGCAAACCAUCUUUCGGAAUGAGCAGAUAUUGAUAUUCUCUUACUGAAUACAGGUCCUGAAGGGUGGAGAUUGAGUGCUAACAACAUUUUAAGAUUGUGACAUCCUGUUUGAACCUGCCGAAAGUUCUUUUAUCAGGCUCUGCAGCUGAAAUAUGGUCUGCAUUUAUGUAAUUCUCACUCCAGUUCUACUAAAUUCUUCUGUAUGCAUGUAUUUUCAAUUAGAGUCACCAAGAUGGAAAUGUGGAACUCACCCUGGCAGGAUAAUAUUAUUUCUUCAUUGUUAAAAGGGGCUGUUUUUCAUUUUAUACAGUAGAACAAGAUAGGAUUCUUUUUUGUGAAGAUAGGAUUUUGUUCUAUGAAGAUAGGAUUCUUCAAGAAGGACCUCCAUAUGGUAUUUAAUUUGGAAAGUACUAAAGAAGAGAAGUGUUCCAAUUAAAUAUUUGGACAUAAUUAUAGAUAUAUAUGAUGCUUUGGUGACUGGUGAAAGAACUUGGAGGUUAAGGUAGUGAAUUCCCAAUUAUCAAUUGGGUUACAUCAAAGAUCAGAACCCCUUUUAUGUAUGCACUUAAUUUAUCUAUGAUGAUUUGACCAAAGACAUUACUUGGUGUAUGCUUUUUUCUGAUGAUAUUAUUUUGAGAGAUGAGACAAAAGCAUGGAUUAAUGCGAAGUUGGAGCUAUGGAAAUCAACCUUGUAAUCAAAAGGUUUUAAGAUAAGUAGAAUGAAGAUGAAGUUAGGGUUUCUCUCACUUACAUUUAGAUAUUCUAUGCGGUCACUUACGACAAGGUUAGCUAUGUUGGAUAACUCUACUAUUGUCACCACCGAUCCUAAGGAUAAGAAAUAGCAUUACUUCGGCAAAUCUAGUGACAGGUUUCUCUACUGUGAGUGUUUGAAAGUUUGAGAUAUCUCAGAUUCAAUGGAGAAGAGGCCGUUUUACCUAUAUAGUAAGCCUCGAAUUUCCUAAAAUUUCAAAGCAUAACUGGAAGAUCUGGAAGGCUUGAGAUCUGUUAUCGGUUACAAAAUUAAAGCCAACAGUAACCUAAAAGUUCUUGACUAUAAUUUUAUCAAAAAAGAAUGGAUAAGUAAUUUGGUAAAAUAAAACCCCAUUUUAAAUAAUUUUGCAAUUUUCCCAAUAAAAAAUCUCAUUCAUGUUGAUGUUAUGUGCUCUCAUUGGUCCCCGUGUUGGUGUAGGGGCCAUGCAACCAGGCAUCAAUCUCUUUUCUAUAAAAAUAUGACCGUUAGAGAGCUAGGAAUUUGGAAGAGUUUAGGAUUUUGUGGGGUAUCAUGGUUAAGCAACCUCUUUAACAAAAUUACGAGUACAAGGAGAAUGCCAGACAAGUAGAGGAGGAGCACUAUUGUUGUCUCCAUCUACAAAAACAAAGGGAUAUUCAUGAUUGUAAUAACUGUAGAGGCAUAAAACUUAUUAGCCAUACUAUGAAGCUUUGGGAGAAGAUUAUUGAAGCCUGCUUGAGAAGAGAAUAUGAUAUUUCAGUUAACCAAUUUUAUGCCUGGGAAAUCUACUAUGGAAGCUAUUUAUCUCCUCAGGAUACUUAUGGGAACCUAUUGAACUACCAUAAAGGACCUACAUAUGGUAUUUAUUGACCUGGAAAAGGCCUAUGAUAGUGUUCCUAGAGAGCUAAUAUGGCAUGGUCUAGAGAAGAGAAGGGUGUUGAGCAGAUAUGCAGAUAUAUUUAAAAAUAUAUACGAUGAUAAGGUGACUAGUGUGAGAACCAAGGGUUGUCAAGGGAGUGAGUUCCUAAUUACUUUGGGCUUCAUCAAGGAUCAACUUUAAGCCCUUAUUUGUUUGUGCUUGUAAUGGAUGAGUUGACAAAGAACAUUCAAGGUGAGGUUCCUUGGUAUGCUAUUUGCUGAUGAUGUUGUACAAGUUGAUGACAUAGAAAUAGGGCUUAACUCGUGCAAGAGAUCAACCUUGGAAUCAAGAGGUUAUAAGAUAAGUAGAAGUGUAGAACAAAGCCUAAGUGUGUGAUCUGUACAUUUAGACACAUUACAAUGGAUAACGACAUGGCGACUAUUGAGAAGAGAGAGAUACCGCCAAGGGACUUUUUUAUCCACACUACUUUUGUUCUAUCUCCCCCUCUCCUUUGUAUAUACUCUUCCUCUUGGUAAUGAAUUAUUUAUUCAUCUAAAAAAAAGGGAGGUGAUAAAGAGGACGAUGUGUCACAUAAAAUUAAAGUGGGAUGAAUGAAGUGGAGAAGUGCGUCCGACGUUUCCAUGUCAAACUAAAGGGAAAAGUCAGUUGUACGCCCAACUAUUAUGUAUGGAGCGGAAUGUUAGGCAGUUAAGAAACGACAUAUUGAUAAGCUGUGUGUAUUGGAGAUUAGAAUGCUAAAAUGGAUGUGUAAGAAAACUAAGAAGGAUAAGGUCAAGAAUGAGCACUAGAGCAGACUUGGGAGUCGCCCUAAUUUAUGAAAAACCAUGGAAAAGUCAUUUGAGAUGGUAUGUCCAUGUUCAAUAGAAGCCAUCAAAUGCACAUGAGCACCAGACCAGACUAGGGAGUCGCCCCAAUCUAUGAAAGAUUAUGGAAAAGUCAUUUGAAAUGGUAUGGCCAUGUUCAACAAAAGCCAUCAAAUGCACCACUAAGAAAUAGUGAUUUGAUCCAAAUAGAGGGAUGUAAAAGAGCUAAAGGCAUACCAAAAAUGACCAUAGGAGAAGCGGUGAGGAAAGACAUGCAUAGAUUAGGCAUUACCCCAAGUAUGGUAUUGAAUAGUGUGGAUUUGUGGGCCAGGAUCCAAGUACCAGGACCCUUAUAGUUGUGUUCUACUUCGUUACUAGUAUUGUAAUCAGACUACUUUCAAUUUUACUUUCCCUUUCCCUUGUCCUUGCUUGGAUCCAUGUAGCCGACCCCUUUAAGUUGGAAUAAGGCUUUGUUGUUGUUGUUGUUGUUGUAAGAGAGCCAUGUACUUCUUAAUGUAACACUUCAUAUGCUUGGUGAUGCGAUCUCAGGCUAUCUUUCCCAUCUCGCGGUCUCUAUAAUUCCCAAGCUUUCUUUCUCAUAUGAAGCUUCGGUGAAUUCCAAAAUUGCAUACGAUACCGUUCAAUCAUUCAUUUCACUGUGCAGAACCCAGAUUGUACUUUUUAUUUUUAUCUUGUUUCAUUUUGAAGUCACAAGUUUUACUUUGCCCUUGAGAUAUUAAUGUCAGAAUCUAAAGAAGCAUCAACAGAAGAACCAGUCAUAGCCACGAUUUCUGAAAUCCAGCAACAUCCGUUAAUGGAAACUUCACAGAGCCCUAGUCAUAUCCUGCUACUCAAGCUUUGGAAAAGAGAAGACCUCUUCAGGUUGUGAAUCGCCAUAAUGGAAACCCAAUUGGACAACAUUAAACUGGAAUUAUUUUAGUUGUCCUCUUUUUUCUUCACCUUUUCCAAUCGUUCGCAAGAACAUACAUGCAGGAGAUUGUGGCUUCUAUCAUUUUUAUUUAUAUCUUAUUCACUUACCUAACCAUUGUCUUCAUAUUUUUUAUCUAGAUUAAGCUUUACAGGUACUGGAAGGUUUCAAGGCAGUUUCAGGGAGAGAAGCGAUAGCAGAGCGGUUACGAGGUGUAUCCAAGAAUUAAGGAUUGAAGGGAGGAGUUUUGCUCUGUUGAAAGAGUCUUAGAAUGCAAGAAGGAUGAAAAGCUCUUUGGCCUAAAAUCAAAUGGAAUCCUCUUUCUUGGUGUUCCCAAAAUCUUAUAACCAUUUGCCUUGUUUGUUUCACAGGUAUGGUCCUCCCAGCUUGGAACUAUAUCCUCAACGGUUGAGAAUGACCUUUGCUAGUAGAUGGAGAUUCAAACACCAGAGAAAAACAUACUGCUUCUACAACAGUUUGGUAUCAACUACGAGAGGCAACCAGUCAUGUUCCAUAGUGGAUCCUGUGUUUACAGAGAUAAGUAAAUACAGUUUGGAUGAUGCACUUAAACACAUUUUCUGAAGCAAAAAGUGACUAGAUUGGAUCAUUAUUUCCGUUGAAUGCACACAACAAAGAUUGGGAGAGGAAAUCAAAAGCACACGCCAAAGAAUGGGUUCCAUUACCCCCCCCCCCCUUUUUUUUUAAAUCCAUUUUUCCUUUUCAGUGUCACUAAGCAUGCACAAAUGUGUUUCCGUUUUACAUUUGAUUUUAGCAUUAUAAAUUUUUCCUGCACUCCUUUUGUGUGUGGUUCUUUUCAUCUAUCAAAUAUAUUUUCUUCUCAGAGCUAAACUGAAUUUUUUUAAUUCUAUUUGAUCUAUUUGUCUCUAAGGUGAGAGAGAGCAUACAUGACACUGAAGGAAGAGAUCUUGUUCAACAUUCUCUGAAGGGAUCGUUGGUUUUUGGACAUCAACUACUUCUGCCUCAUGAAAAAGUAUGUUGACUUGCAAUCUUUUGGAAUGAAUCUGAAGACUAUUUCUGCUUUUGCUCUUGAACAUGCAAAAUGUUAUAUUUUCAUUGAAUCUUACAGGGAAUUUGAUGUAAUUGAGGACUCUCCCAUUACCUGUUAGUCUGUUGUUAAAAGGUUUAUCGAUAUGCUAUAAUAUAUUUAUAAAUUCUAGCUGUUAUUGUCUUAA
RNA transcript from Macadamia integrifolia, 5162 nucleotides. It is a transcript of the gene named tRNA(His) guanylyltransferase 1-like, with no coding region annotated. Lineage: Eukaryota; Viridiplantae; Streptophyta; Magnoliopsida; Proteales; Proteaceae. The transcript is spliced from 6 exons. The record is from RefSeq and is a predicted model, not a curated record.